RNAcentral lists this ribosomal RNA (504 nucleotides) under uncultured bacterium. RNAcentral's name for it is "partial 16S ribosomal RNA". It matches the Rfam family "Bacterial small subunit ribosomal RNA", at positions 29 to 523 of the family's 1533-position model. The record is from RNAcentral.
AUUGAACGCUGGCGGCAGGCCUAACACAUGCAAGUCGGACGGUAGCACAGAGAGCUUGCUCUCGGGUGACGAGUGGCGGACGGGUGAGUAAUGUCUGGGGAUCUGCCCGAUAGAGGGGGAUAACCACUGGAAACGGUGGCUAAUACCGCAUAACGUCGCAAGACCAAAGAGGGGGACCUUCGGGCCUCUCACUAUCGGAUGAACCCAGAUGGGAUUAGCUAGUAGGCGGGGUAAUGGCCCACCUAGGCGACGAUCCCUAGCUGGUCUGAGAGGAUGACCAGCCACACUGGAACUGAGACACGGUCCAGACUCCUAAGGGAGGCAGCAGUGGGGAAUAUUGCACAAUGGGCGCAAGCCUGAUGCAGCCAUGCCGCGUGUAUGAAGAAGGCCUUCGGGUUGUAAAGUACUUUCAGCGGGGAGGAAGGCGAUGCGGUUAAUAACCGUGUCGAUCGACGUUACCCGCAGAAGAAGCACCGGCUAACUCCGUGCCAGCCGCCGCCGUAA